GACGAACGCUGGCGGCGUGCUUAACACAUGCAAGUCGAACGGAAAGGCCCUGCUUUUGUGGGGUGCUCGAGUGGCGAACGGGUGAGUAACACGUGAGUAACCUGCCCUUGACUUUGGGAUAACUUCAGGAAACUGGGGCUAAUACCGGAUAGGAGCUCCUGCUGCAUGGUGGGGGUUGGAAAGUUUCGGCGGUUGGGGAUGGACUCGCGGCUUAUCAGCUUGUUGGUGGGGUAGUGGCUUACCAAGGCUUUGACGGGUAGCCGGCCUGAGAGGGUGACCGGCCACAUUGGGACUGAGAUACGGCCCAGACUCCUACGGGAGGCAGCAGUGGGGAAUAUUGCACAAUGGGCGGAAGCCUGAUGCAGCAACGCCGCGUGCGGGAUGACGGCCUUCGGGUUGUAAACCGCUUUCGCCUGUGACGAAGCGUGAGUGACGGUAAUGGGUAAAGAAGCACCGGCUAACUACGUGCCAGCAGCCGCGGUGAUACGUAGGGUGCGAGCGUUGUCCGGAUUUAUUGGGCGUAAAGGGCUCGUAGGUGGUUGAUCGCGUCGGAAGUGUAAUCUUGGGGCUUAACCCUGAGCGUGCUUUCGAUACGGGUUGACUUGAGGAAGGUAGGGGAGAAUGGGAUUCCUGGUGGAGCGGUGGAAUGCGCAGAUAUCAGGAGGAACACCAGUGGCGAAGGCGGUUCUCUGGGCCUUUCCUGACGCUGAGGAGCGAAAGCGUGGGGAGCGAACAGGCUUAGAUACCCUGGUAGUCCACGCUGUAAACGGUGGGUACUAGGUGUGGGGUCCAUUCCACGGGUUCCGUGCCGUAGCUAACGCUUUAAGUACCCCGCCUGGGGAGUACGGCCGCAAGGCUAAAACUCAAAGGAAUUGACGGGGCCCCGCACAAGCGGCGGAGCAUGCGGAUUAAUUCGAUGCAACGCGUAGAACCUUACCUGGGUUUGACAUGGAUCGGGAGUGCUCAGAGAUGGGUGUGCCUCUUUUGGGGUCGGUUCACAGGUGGUGCAUGCCUGUCGUCAGCUCGUGUCGUGAGAUGUUGGGUUAAGUCCCGCAACGAGCGCAACCCUUGUUCACUGUUGCCAGCACGUUAUGGUGGGGACUCAGUGGAGACCGCCGGGGUCAACUCGGAGGAAGGUGGGGAUGACGUCAAGUCCUCAUGCCCCUUAUGUCCAGGGCUUCACGCAUGCUACAAUGGCUGGUACAGAGAGUGGCGAGCCUGUGAGGGUGAGCGAAUCUCGGAAAGCCGGUCUCAGUUCGGAUUGGGGUCUGCAACUCGACCUCAUGAAGUCGGAGUCGCUAGUAAUCGCAGAUCAGCAACGCUGCGGUGAAUACGUUCCCGGG
RNAcentral lists this ribosomal RNA (1343 nucleotides) under uncultured bacterium. RNAcentral's name for it is "16S ribosomal RNA". It matches the Rfam family "Bacterial small subunit ribosomal RNA", at positions 28 to 1378 of the family's 1533-position model. The record is from RNAcentral.